RNAcentral lists this ribosomal RNA (500 nucleotides) under Candovia sp. B AC-2020. RNAcentral's name for it is "partial large subunit ribosomal RNA". The stretch from base 375 to 500 matches the Rfam family "Bacterial large subunit ribosomal RNA", at positions 2473 to 2599 of the family's 2925-position model. The record is from RNAcentral. Lineage: Eukaryota; Metazoa; Arthropoda; Insecta; Phasmatodea; Lonchodidae.
CUUGUAUUUUAUUUGAGAUCUAACCUGCCCAAUGAAUUAUUUAAAUGGCCGCGGUAUUUUGACCGUGCAAAGGUAGCAUAAUCAUUAGUUUAUUAAUUAUAGACUUGUAUGAAUGGUUGGACGAAAUAUUAACUGUCUCAUAUUUAUUAAUAAAAUUUAAAUUUUGAGUUAAAAUGCUUAAAUUUUAUUAUAGGACGAGAAGACCCUAUAGAUCUUUAUUUUUGAUAUUUUUUUAUUUUUUAGUUUUAUUUUUUAUAAAAAUUUUAAUUAUUUUGUUGGGGUGACAUUGAUACAUAAUUAAUUAUUUAUUAUUUUAUUCAAUUAUUUUUGUAUAUUUGACCUUUUAUUAUUGUUAUAAGAUUAGAUACCUUAGGGAUAACAGCGUAAUUCUUUUUGAGAGUUCAUAUCGACAAUAGAGAUUGCGACCUCGAUGUUGGAUUAAGAUUAUAUUUAGGUGUAGAUGCUUAAUUAUUAAGUCUGUUCGACUUUUAAAUUCUUAC